Molecule: long non-coding RNA, 1305 nt
Organism: Brassica napus (rape)
Lineage: Eukaryota; Viridiplantae; Streptophyta; Magnoliopsida; Brassicales; Brassicaceae
Exons: 4
Source: RefSeq, a predicted model, not a curated record
UUUGCAAAAUUUCGAGCCCAGCCAAAUAGUACGUUACUUCCUCUUCUCGCCUUCGAUUUUCUUAGAGUUGCAGCUGUAAGUUAUCUAGAACUUAAACACACCGUCUAGCUCACCAUAACGUUUUCAGCUUGCAUUAAUAUGUGCAGCUUUUAUGUGGCUAACUUAAUCCUCCACUCCCAAGCGUUCAAUCAACCUAAUCGCAAUCUAGGCGUAGUCUGUUCAGCUUACCUAUUACGACAACGGUGAAUUUCGUCAUUAUGAAUCGACAAUCUAUAUAUAAAUUUGUCAGAUUCUUGACGUGAAAUUCAUCAGUUCCUCUCCCUCAAUCAUUAUAAUCAAUUUCUCUCUCGAUGGUUUAGUUUCCCUUCUUCUCAUCGCUGCUAUAUUGCAUGGAUCAAUUUUGUUUGUAAUGCAUCUCUAAUCUUUUUUGAUGUAUUUUUCCCGGAGUUUCUUCCCUGCCUUGACUAAGAUCGUCGGGACUCUCGAUCCUAAAUCCUGAUCCGUCGAAACUCUCUCUGGAAGUGAAGAAAGGAGAUACUAUCUUUGUUGGACAAUACCUAUUCACUGGUACUGAAACAACUUCAGUUUGGCUUUAGAAAGUAUACGUAAAUUAUUGGGUCCUCUUUUUCAAUGGUGGAAGCAAAUCCAUGAUCGCAUCGAACACUGUCAUGACCACUCUGUCAUGGAGAUUGACGAUGAAGAAAUCUCUUGGAUCACCAAUCGUCCUGCUGUUCAUCUGGAGAUGGGGAAGAUAAAGCUGAGGCUCUGGAGGGUGAGAUGGUUGGGAAGGAGCCUGAGGUAGAGAAGAAAAGAGAACCGGAGCCGGAGUUUGAAAAACAGAAGGAGAAGAAGCAUACAACUUUGAAGGAGAAAGAGAUGGAGAAUACUGCGUACAAGGAUUUCGAAACUGCUAUCAAUAAGAGAGAUACAGAAACAGGAAGAGGUGAAGCGUUUAAAGAGGGAGGCUGCUAAGGUAGAGAGGAAGCACAUAGAAAAAAUAAGAAGAGGAGGCCCGGGAGUGCGCAAAGCGUCAAGCUGCAAGGAGAGAAGCUACUAGACUGAGAAUGAGCCAAGAGAAGGUACUUCCUCUUGACGGAUCUGAGAAAGGACCUGAUGCUACACAUGCUACAACAGUCAGCAGAAGUUAUUUGAUUCUUUGUCGAUGCUAGAUCAAUUCUCUGGAUAAGUUCUUUGAAACAGCAUAAACAUAUACACAUUACAUUUAUACAUGGAUGAAUUAGAAAACCUGUUUUAUGUAAUGCGUCUCAGAACAUUUGUGAAAAUAUAAUGAUGAGGUUUGAAACA